Molecule: ribosomal RNA, 550 nt
Filed under: uncultured bacterium
Lineage: Bacteria
Description: bacterial SSU rRNA
Rfam family: Bacterial small subunit ribosomal RNA
Source: RNAcentral
UAGGGAAUCUUCGGCAAUGGACGGAAGUCUGACCGAGCAACGCCGCGUGAGUGAAGAAGGUUUUCGGAUCGUAAAGCUCUGUUGUAAGAGAAGAACGAGUGUGAGAGUGGAAAGUUCACACUGUGACGGUAUCUUACCAGAAAGGGACGGCUAACUACGUGCCAGCAGCCGCGGUAAUACGUAGGUCCCGAGCGUUGUCCGGAUUUAUUGGGCGUAAAGCGAGCGCGGGCGGUUAGAUAAGUCUGAAGUUAAAGGCUGUGGCUUAACCAUAGUAGGCUUUGGAAACUGUUUAACUUGAGUGCAAGAGGGGAGAGUGGAAUUCCAUGUGUAGCGGUGAAAUGCGUAGAUAUAUGGAGGAACACCGGUGGCGAAAGCGGCUCUCUGGCUUGUAACUGACGCUGAGGCUCGAAAGCGUGGGGAGCAAACAGGAUUAGAUACCCUGGUAGUCCACGCUGUAAACGAUGAGUGCUAGGUGUUAGACCCUUUCCGGGGUUUAGUGCCGUAGCUAACGCAUUAAGCACUCCGCCUGGGGAGUACGACCGCAAGGUUG